GCCGGCGUAGCUCAGUUGGCAGAGCAGCUGAUUUGUAAUCAGCAGGUCGUCCGUUCGAGCCGGAUCGCCGGCU
This 73-nucleotide transfer RNA is filed under the name bacterium. Its description in RNAcentral is "tRNA-Thr". It matches the Rfam family "tRNA". Rfam says of the family: Transfer RNA (tRNA) molecules are approximately 80 nucleotides in length. The record is from RNAcentral.